RNAcentral lists this ribosomal RNA (468 nucleotides) under uncultured bacterium. RNAcentral's name for it is "partial 16S ribosomal RNA". It matches the Rfam family "Bacterial small subunit ribosomal RNA", at positions 28 to 507 of the family's 1533-position model. The record is from RNAcentral.
GACGAACGCUGGCGGCGUGCUUAACACAUGCAAGUCGAACGGAAAGGCCCUGCUUUUGUGGGGUGCUCGAGUGGCGAACGGGUGAGUAACACGUGAGUAACCUGCCCUGGACUUGGGGAUAACUUCAGGAAACUGGGGCUAAUACCGGAUAGGAGCUCCUGCUGCAUGGUGGGGGUUGGAAAGUUUCGGCGGUUGGGGAUGGACUCGCGGCUUAUCAGCUUGUUGGUGGGGUAGUGGCUUACCAAGGCUUUGACGGGUAGCCGGCCUGAGAGGGUGACCGGCCACAUUGGGACUGAGAUACGGCCCAGACUCCUACGGGAGGCAGCAGUGGGGAAUAUUGCUCAAUGGGCGGAAGCCUGAUGCAGCAACGCCGCGUGCGGGAUGACGGCCUUCGGGUUGUAAACCGCUUUCGCCUGUGACGAAGCGUGAGUGACGGUAAUGGGUAAAGAAGCACCGGCUAACUACGUG